This is a long non-coding RNA of Tribolium castaneum (red flour beetle), 1375 nucleotides long. RefSeq lists it as uncharacterized. The record is from RefSeq and is a predicted model, not a curated record. NCBI's taxonomy places the organism in Eukaryota, Metazoa, Arthropoda, Insecta, Coleoptera, Tenebrionidae. The transcript has 3 exons.
AAAUGGAAAAUUUGGUAUUGGGCCACUUCAGCACAAAAAUGAAUACGGUUUCGUCCAAACAAAUUCGGACAAGAUUAUAAUAAGAUACAAGAAUAAUAUAAUUAUGUAACCAGCAAUUAUUCAAAUUAAUCGCUGUGUCGCUAGAGGGCUCCGUUCAGGAAUGACUCCGCCGGUAAUGAAGAAAAAUGCGAGGAAGAGUAACCUAUCGCACCAGGGCUAUGAAAGUAAAGCGACCUUAUUGGUCGAUUAAAAAUAAAGCUCUCAGCCACCGCAAGGGAGUGCAUCGGUAGAAAUUAAUAGGCAGCACAAAUUGCACUGUUGUGUUACUGUGUUACCUAGACAGGCUUUGGCUGUGGGCUCUGAUGUCAAAGUCUGUAAUACCGACAGCACAAAUGUCAAACAAAACUAUCAAAUAGUCGAACGCCAUUUUUAACGGUUUUGUUUGUGGUUUUUUUACCUUGUUAUUCAACAAAAUGCUUACAGCAGUGCAUUUACUUUGGUUUUAGUUUUUACAACUAAUAAAGUACUCUUUGAAUUCGUGAGAGAAAGUUGAACGUGGGCAUGGGACUUUAACACUGUUGUUUGUUCGGUACAAGGAUGUACCUACAAUAAAAGGCCCAUAUUUCGUUUCCCACAUCCCAUCAGUAGAUACAGGCCGUCAAGAACCCUGGAUAAUGUAGUUUAGAUUGCCAGUUGGCUAUCCAAGGUGCCGGAGGACAACAGCAGCAAUUUGUUGCAAAAUGGGUGAUUAAUUUUGCUAAGAGAACUGGAUUUUCCACCUCUUGCUCAACGUGUGGACAGAUUCAACAUUUGAAAAAUAAAUGUUCCACCAGAUGCAACGACACAUAUCGUAUUUCUUAACCGUACAACAGUAAGCCUCAGUCAGUUAUAACAACAUAACAAUCCUCCAAUAAGUCGAGGCUUUCUUGUCGGUGUUUCAAUUAAACCAAACAGCGUCGAAUGACUAAAGACCGCUUUGCAAGAGCUAAAACCGGCAAGUAGCCAUCAGAUGUGAAAAAUAAUAACCUGUGUGUAAAUUUGCAUUAUAGAACAAUAAUUUUAAGAUGAACGUACCUAAGUCAAAUAAAAACUGUUAUUAAUAAAUUUUUACAACAUUACAAUUUUUUAUUAUGAAACAUUUUUCGUACUCUUUGCACAUAUUUGCAAUGACAGUUUUUAGUAAUUCGUUACUAAAAACUGUUGUUGCAAAUAUUUGCAAAGAUUACGAAAAAUUAUAAUAUUUUAUGAAUAAGUAAUGGUCGGAGUCAUUUAAAUUUACCGCCAUUACGCUCGCGACCACCUACUGAUGGCGCUGCAGUCUCUCAACCGCCACCAACAAGGAAAGAGUCAAUUCUAUCUAUCUCUUAUUCUAUGA